This 909-nucleotide long non-coding RNA is filed under the name Marmota monax (woodchuck). The record is from RNAcentral. Lineage: Eukaryota; Metazoa; Chordata; Mammalia; Rodentia; Sciuridae.
GGACACCAUAUUAAUAAUAGCCUUGUGUGUAUAUGUGGCACAUUCCAUUUUCAAAGGCAUUUAUAAACACUGAGAGAUGAAAGCUAGCACCACUAGUCUUGGGAAAAGGGAAUGUUAAUCACACCAUGCCUGUUCCUUGGGGAGGGUCACAGAGCUAGAAAGGAUGUCAGCAACCUCCAGGCCCUGCACAAAUAAGGGUGAGGGAUUUCCAUCUCUCUCUUCAAGCAAGUUCAAGCAAACCCCAUACAUCCUAUAAUUUUCAAUUAUCAUCUAUCUAUCUAUCAUCUAUCUAUCAUCAAUCAUCUCCUUUUCCCCUCCCCUUCUCUUUCUUCUUCCCUCUUUCUUUUCUUUUCUUUUUCCCUUCCUUCCUUUCUUCUUUCCUUCCUUCCUUCCUUCCUUUCUUCCUUCCUUCCUUCCUUCCUUCUCCCCCCCUCUCUCCCCACCCCUUUCUCCCUCUCUCUCUCUCUCUCUCUCUCUCUCUCUCUCUCCUCCUUUUUUAUGUCCUCCCCCCCAAAGCCCUGUUGUAAUUGCAGGUACCUGAUCAAAAUGGUGUUGUUUAAAGCCACUAAUUUUGGGGUGGUUUGAAAUACAUCAAUAGAUAAUUCUCACACCUGCAUAGACUGGGGUGUCUGAUCAUCCUACACUCGGCCACAUUUCAGGCAGUAUAAUGCCACCCAGCAUGGCUCUUAGCCUGGGCACCCAUCUCUUGCCCUCGGUUCCAGGACCUCAGGACAUGGAGUGCACACCUUUGCCUCUCCAGCCAGCCAGCACCUCAGUGUGUCAUUCUCACUACUGCUGCUCUGCCAGAGAUGAGUGAUUCACUCUCUAAAGUGCUGAUAUGGAGAAGCUAACCGAGCUGUCUUUUCUGUUUGGUGUUUAACAGUGGAAGUGAACAUGUGCAGAAUGCCU